GAUGAAGAACGUAGCGAAAUGCGAUAAGUAAUGUGAAUUGCAGAAUUCAGUGAAUCAUCGAAUCUUUGAACGCACCUUGCGCUCUUUGGUAUUCCGAAGAGCAUGCCUGUUUGAGUGUCAUGAAAAUAUCAACCUUGACUUGGGUUUUGUGCUCUAGUCUCGGCUUGGAAUUGGGUGCUUGCCGCUUUUACGAGCGGCUCACCUUAAAUGUAUUAGCUGGAUCUGUCUUUGAGACUUGGUUUGACUUGGCGUAAUAAGUAUUUCGCUAAGGACAUUCUUCGGAGUGGCCUCGUUUCUAGGACGCUUGUCCGCUUUCCAAUACUAGUUCCACCUCGUGGACAUGACUUUUUAUUAUCUGGCCUCAAAUCAGGUAGGACUACCCGCUGAACUUAAGCAUAUCAAUAAGCGGAGGA
Molecule: unclassified non-coding RNA, 413 nt
Filed under: soil metagenome
Description: partial contains 5.8S ribosomal RNA, internal transcribed spacer 2, and large subunit ribosomal RNA
Rfam family: 5.8S ribosomal RNA (bases 1-120)
Source: RNAcentral